AACCGUUUUCGGACGGAUAUAGAGUGGCGAACGGGUGAGUAACACGUGACCAACCUGCCCCUUACUUCGGGACAACCUUGGGAAACCGAGGCUAAUACCGAAUAUUCCUUUUCCCUUUCAUGAGGGAAUCGGGAAAGCCUUGUGCGGUAAGGGAUGGGGUCGCGGCCCAUCAGGUAGACGGCGGGGUAACGGCCCACCGUGCUUUCGACGGGUAGCCGACCUGAGAGGGUGAUCGGCCACAUUGGAACUGAGACACGGUCCAAACUCCUACGGGAGGCAGCAGUGGGGAAUAUUGCACAAUGGGCGAAAGCCUGAUGCAGCAACGCCGCGUGAACGAUGAAGGUCUUCGGAUCGUAAAGUUCUGUCGCAGGGGAAGAUAAUGACGGUACCCUGUGAGGAAGCACCGGCUAACUACGUGCCAGCAGCCGCGGUAAUACGUAGGGUGCUAGCGUUAUCCGGAUUUACUGGGCGUAAAGGGUGCGUAGGUGGUCUUUCAAGUCGGUGGUUAAAGGCUACGGCUCAACCGUAUUAAGCCGCCGAAACUGGAAGACUUGAGUGCAGGAGAGGAAAGUGGAAUUCUCAGUGUAGCGGUGAAAUGCGUAGAUAUUGAGAAGAACACCAGUAGCGAAGGCGGCUUUCUGGACUGUAACUGACACUG
Molecule: ribosomal RNA, 658 nt
Filed under: uncultured bacterium
Lineage: Bacteria
Description: bacterial SSU rRNA
Rfam family: Bacterial small subunit ribosomal RNA
Source: RNAcentral